This is an RNA transcript of Salvia miltiorrhiza (redroot sage), 3439 nucleotides long. RefSeq lists it as uncharacterized. NCBI's taxonomy places the organism in Eukaryota, Viridiplantae, Streptophyta, Magnoliopsida, Lamiales, Lamiaceae. The record is from RefSeq and is a predicted model, not a curated record. The transcript is spliced from 4 exons.
AAAAAGAGAAACACAAACCCUUUUCAAUGCCAAAAUGUCAAGAGCUGCUUCUAGGGUUUUAGGAAUCCCAAAUUUCUAGGAGGGUUUAUCAAAACCCUCUUAUUCCUAAUUUUAUUCGCCUCCAUUUUCGCGAUGGAGGAAUUCGACGAUGAUGACUUCAGCGACCUUUAUGCUGACGUUGAGGUACAGGCGAGCUCAGCAAUCAGCGCUUUGCAUCGGUCGACAGAAUUGCCCCCACGGAGCGAUCGUAUUUCCGCAAAUGCCCCGCGAGGAGAGAAUAAGGCAGCUGAGGAGCGUGAUGCCGCACGUCAGGAGGCAAAGGAGGAGAAGGCCGGUGGCUGUGGUGAUUUGAGAAAUUUGCCUGUAGAGAAUGGUGAUAGAUGUGAAAGCGGGAGCACGAGCUGGAGUGAGAGUGAGAGUGAGAGAGAUAGCGAGGACCGAUUGGCUAGUGAUGGCUAUGAUGAAGUUGAGAGAAAAGUAGGUGAGAAUUAUGAACGUAAGAGAUAUGAAGAAAUAUCUGGAAAGGAGAAGACCGUCAAUGGUGGGGAUUACAGCUCCCAGUCCCAGAGAAAGAUUUUGCAGUAUAAUUCCUCGAAUUCUAAGACGAAGAGAGUUCAUGAAACGACACAACAAGUGCGCAGAACAUGCAGGAAAGGGGACUCUGAUGACAGAAAUCCUUUCUUUAGUAGUGAGGAUAACCAACCUAACUAUGGAAGGAAACACGGAGGACCAGAAAUUGCCUCAGAAAGGCAUACAGAAGCGAGCUAUCCUGUGCCCUUGGAUUUGGAUAAGCGUGGAAGUGUGCAGAUAUCCGACUCAGUGGAGGAUAGCCCUUGUGAAGUCUCUGAAUGUGAUUCAGAUGGGAUAUCCGAAACUUCUGAUGAUACAGAUAGAAGAAAAGCAAGUUGCAUAUCGAAUAAAGUGUCAUCAGCACGAGAACCAGAUGCAUUUAAAAGCAGUUGGAGUCAGCGUGGCCAAGGAUACCCUUCUUCUCCUAGUCGUGCUGCAUACGGUAGCAGAUAUUUUGAAAAGAGCCCUAAGCGUUUAAGGUACUCUUCAUCUAGCUUACAUUGUGAAUCACAAGAUCCAAUCACUCACAAAUAUCAUCCUCCCAAACACUCUGAAAGCCGUGGUGUCAGACGAGGUACCAGAGAUGGUGGAUAUUAUGAGAGACGGCAAGACAGCACACGGAAGCAUUCUAAUCAGCCCAAGAAAUCUAAUUAUAUGCCCUAUUUCAAAAACCGAGCCGAUGAGGAUGCUUCUUAUGCAACUGAUGCCAAGCAUCUCUAUAACAGACAUGUUAACCAACAUAGAGCAAUGGUAGAUCUCAAAAUUAAUGAGACUGAUGUUCCUUUCUGCAGCUACUCAGAAAGAAUGCUGACUUACUCAGGUGGACGUUUGCCUGAUCAUCAUAUGGGCCAGGCAUUCUUGAAAAACCAAUACUGGGACAAUCCAAAUAGUAGGUACAAAGCAGGUCCCCUUGAUGGUCACAAUAUUAGUGAAAGAAAAAAUUUUCUUGACAAGAGAAGUAGUCAGAUGGAUUAUGAAUCUUCGGAAUAUUAUAGAUAUCAUAAUCAAAGGAGACAUCAGUUUCAGGGUGAUAUCGAGGGGUAAGGAACUUAUCACUAAAGUACUCCUCUACAGUUGACCACAGAGGUACACAGUUGUUGUAUAAAGGAGAAGGUGAACGUCUCAGGCGGAGAACCAGACAAGACUGUCUGCCACCAGUACAUGAUUAUGAUGACAGAUAUGUGGAAGGAAGAAGAAUUCGCCCUAGUAGUGGCGGAGAUAGAGAUCAUCUUGAUUGUAGAUAUGAUCGGGAUGUAGCUCAUGAUAGAAGAGAAGUGGAGAGCUCUUCAAAGGGCAAUAGAAGACGUCAUAGCCCUUUGAAUAGUUCAGAAAAUUUCUGCUAUAUUGAGAAUGAGGUUAAUGACAGGAGGAACAUCAAACAUCAACCUUUUCCUUUUUAUCCGUCUGAAGAACCUUACGCUUCUGGCAGGGGGGAGUUUCUAGGAGCUUCUGGACCAAAAAUGGGGGUUGCUCAAAGAAACAUCAGGUGCUCACGGAGAGAAAUGCGCAUAGAGUGUGAUCAGUAUGAUACUGAUGUCGCCACUUUUGUCCCCAGAGAAAACCUCAGGUAUUGUUCUCCUGAGGAUUUUCAUGUCAAAAGAAGAGACUACCAACCAUCUUCAAACACCAAUUACACAAGAGAAAGCAUUCGAUAUGAGGAUCAUUUGUUGGGAGAAGACGCAAUCAACAUUCUGAAGUAUUCCUUCCGAAGGAAGAUGUAGAUAAGUCCAGGCAGCAGGACCGUAUUGUCUUCGGCUCUGAGGAGCGAUCCCAUAAAUCUAAAAGAAUUUUAAAGAAUGAUGAGGCUGAUGGUAAACCUGCAUCUUGUCGUAUUAUGGAACUUAGUGAAAGAGAAAUGAGGAGGCGGAACUCCAAUAUAUUGGGAGAAGAAGAGAACAGUAAUCAUUUUGACGGGUGUCAUAAAUCCACCAAACUUAAUAGUCAUGCUCAGAGGCAUCCGAGUCACCAAGAUUCAGUUGAUCGCUUGGUGGUUAAGGGCAGAAAGUGCACCUUGCAGUCCUCUAUAAGAAGAACCACAGAAGCCGGAGAAGAUACAUACUAUGGUAAGUGUGACCUCGUGGGAUCGACUGACAACAAGGAACCAAAUAAUUCUGAAGACACAGAUGAAUUCAAACCAGAGAAGACUGUUCCAACUGAUGAAGGAGAGAUAAAUGCUAGCCUUAGCGGCAGAAAUCAGCAAAGUAAGUUCUCCAAAAACCACCAGAACGAGUCUCUGAACACCGAGGAAGGCCAGAUCAUUACUGAAGAAAUUCAGAAUGAAGAUGAAUCACAGAUCAAUGUUUCUGGGCACCCGGAAACUACUUCAAAUGAUAACAGAGUGGUUGAGAAAUUGGAUGAUGAGAAGAUUAAGGAGAUUAUAAUGAAAAUGGAGAGGCGAAGGGAGCGUUUCAAGGAGCCCGUCACGACAAGCAGGGAUGGUGAGAAGGUUUGCAGGGACGGUGAGAAGACUUUCUCCCCGCUGCCAGAUUCGAAUGUUGAGACUGCUGAGGCUAGGCUAGAAAGACCAGCUAGAAAAAGGAGAUGGCUUGGAACUUAGAUCAGGCUUACUUCUAAUACAAAUUUUUGCUGCAGUAACUGAGUCGCAAUUUGAUUAUACUUCACAUAUAUAAUAAUCACUUCAUCAAAUGUUACUGCUUUUGCUGAUUGUCUUGGGAAUUAAGAGUGAGUUGUCUCCUUCAGUGGAAUAUAUAGUACUGCUAAUUUUACGCUGUCAACUCUUAUGUGCAAGAGUUUUGUAGUUAUAAUCUUUUUCUUUUUUUUGAGAAUGUAGUUAUAUUCAUGGCUUCUAACUUGUACUACUUACUCUUAAAAUCGGUAAGUAUUCAUGGCUUUUUUGAGAAUGUAGUUA